This 471-nucleotide ribosomal RNA is filed under the name Methylobacterium oryzae. RNAcentral describes it as "bacterial SSU rRNA". It matches the Rfam family "Bacterial small subunit ribosomal RNA", at positions 116 to 622 of the family's 1533-position model. The record is from RNAcentral. Lineage: Bacteria; Pseudomonadati; Pseudomonadota; Alphaproteobacteria; Hyphomicrobiales; Methylobacteriaceae.
CGUGGGAACGUGCCUUCCGGUUCGGAAUAACCCUGGGAAACUAGGGCUAAUACCGGAUACGCCCUUAUGGGGAAAGGUUUACUGCCGGAAGAUCGGCCCGCGUCUGAUUAGCUAGUUGGUGGGGUAACGGCCUACCAAGGCGACGAUCAGUAGCUGGUCUGAGAGGAUGAUCAGCCACACUGGGACUGAGACACGGCCCAGACUCCUACGGGAGGCAGCAGUGGGGAAUAUUGGACAAUGGGCGCAAGCCUGAUCCAGCCAUGCCGCGUGAGUGAUGAAGGCCUUAGGGUUGUAAAGCUCUUUUAUCCGGGACGAUAAUGACGGUACCGGAGGAAUAAGCCCCGGCUAACUUCGUGCCAGCAGCCGCGGUAAUACGAAGGGGGCUAGCGUUGCUCGGAAUCACUGGGCGUAAAGGGCGCGUAGGCGGCGUUUUAAGUCGGGGGUGAAAGCCUGUGGCUCAACCACAGAAUG